GUGGGCUGAGUCCGAAAAGAGAGUCAGCGAAGGGAGAUAGGGGUGGGGCCGUUUUAUAGGAUUUGGGAAGGUAAUGGAAAAUUAGUCAAAGGGGGUUGUUCUCUGGUGGGCAGGGGUGGGGGGUCACAAGGUGCUCAGUGGGGGAGCUUCUGAGCCAGGAGAAGGAAAUUCGCAGGGUUAAUCACUCAGUUAAGGUGGGGCAGGAACAAAUCACAAUAGUGGAAUGUCAUCAGUUAAGGCGGGGCAGGGCCUUUUCACUUCUUUUGUGAUUCUUCAGUUACUUCAGGCCAUCUGGGCGUAUACGUGCAAGUCACAGGGGAUGCGAUGGCUUGGCUUGGGCUCAGAGGCCUGACAUUCCUGCCUUCUUAUAUUAAUAAGAAAAAUAAAACAAAAUAGUGUUGAAGUGUUGAGGCGGCAAAAAUUUUUGGGGGUGUUAUGGAGAGAGAAUGGGUGAUGUUUCUCAGAGCUGCUUCAAGUGGGAUUAGGGGCGGCGUGGGAACCUAGAGUGGGAGAGAUUAAGCUGAAGGGAGGUCUUGUGGUAAGGGGUGAUAUUGUGGGGAUGUAAGAAGAAACAUUUGUCAUAUAGAAUGAUUGGUGAUGGCCUGGAUACGGUUUUGUAUGAAUUGAAAAACUAAAUGGAAUAUGAGAAGGCGAAAAACAGGUAUAAAAGGACUAAGAAUUGGGAGGACCUAGGCCAUCUAAUUAGAGAGUGCCUAAGGAGAUUCAGCAUAGUCCUGCCGGCAAAGAUUAUUUAUUUACUUCAAGAGUUUAGAGUGGCAGUUUGGGGAUAGCACUAGGAGAUAUCACCUGUGAUGUCUUGGAGAAAGAGUGUAAACCGGCAGUGUAAACAAGAGCAGGGCAUGUGUGAGUAGUUGAGAACAGUGAAUAGGAGUAUGACUAACAGAUGAGGAUGAAAUUUGGGCUUGACUGAAGUAAUGGGGGCUGUCUGUGAAGCCUUGCAGCAGUACAGCCCAGGUAAUUUGCUGAGCCUAAUGGGUGUCAGGGUCAGUCUAAGUGAAGGCAAAGAGAGGCUGGGAUGAAGGGUGCAAGGAAUAGUAAAGAAAGCAUGUUUGAGAUCCAGAACAGAAUAAUGGGUAGUAGAGGGAGGUAUUGAGGAUAGGAGAGUCUAUGGGUUUGGCACCACGGGGUGGAUAGGCAAAACAAUUUGGUUGAUAAGGCGCAGAUUCUGAACUAACUUGUAAGGCUUGUCUGGUUUUAGGACAGGUAAAAUGGGGGAAUGGUAAGGAGAGUUUAUAAGCUUUAAAAGGCCACGCUGUAGCAGGCGAGUGAUAACAGGUUUUAAUCUUUUUAAAGCGUGCUGUGGGAUGGGAUAUUGGCGUUGAGCGGGGUAAGGGUGAUUAGGUUUUAAUGGGAUGGUAAGGGGCAUGUGAUCGGUUGCCAGGGAAGGAGUAGAGAUGUCCCAUACUUGCGGGUUAAGGUGGGGGGAUAUGAGAGGAAGACGCGAAGGAGGCUUUGGGUUGGGGAGAAGGGCGGCAAUGAGAUGUGGCUGUAGUCCAGGAAUAGUCAGGGAAGCAGAUAACUUAGUUAAAGUGUCUCAGCCUAAUAAGGGAACUGGGCAGGUGGGGAUAACGAAAAAGGAGUGCUUAAAAGAGUAUUGUCUAAGUUGGCACCAGAGUUGGGGAGUUUUAAGAGGUUUAGAAGCCUGGCUGUUAAUACCCACAACAGUUAUGGAGGCAAGGGAAACAGGCCCUUGAAAAGAAGGUAAUGUGGAGUGGGUAGCCUCCGUAUUGAUUAAGAAGGGGACGGGCUUACCUUCCACUGUGAGAGUUACCCGAAGCUCGGCGUCCAUGAUGGUCUAGGGGGCUUCCGAGGCGAUCGGGCAGUGUCAGUCUUCAGCCGCUAAGCCAAGAAGAUCUGGGAAGGAGUCAGAGAGCCUUGGGCCAGAGUUCCAGGGUCUCUGAGAGUGGCUGCCAGUUUCUAGAUGCUCUUUUCCCACUCCCACCCCACGUGGGGAACCCAGCUCAUCCGGAUCUGCAUGCUCGUAGCUUUCUCCACAGGAGGCUGAGAAGCCACCAAACACAGAGAGGGAUCUGAACGGCUGGGGAUACUUAGUGCCGAUCACAGGGCCCCGCUUCGUAUGCUUUGAAAUGCUUGUAUUUAAGUCAACUCUGUCCCCUCUCCUGGCAGAGUUUUCAGCUGAAGAUGAAAAUGCUGCUAUGGCAUUCCCUGCAGUCCACGUUGCUAGGAGAGGAUGAAUUCAGGAGCUGUGGGCUUUCCAGACUUUCAGUCAGCCCCUGUCAACACCCCUUAAAUAACCAGUGGUAAACUGCCUGUCAGAAUGAUGGAGAGCCACUUGAUUCCCAUUUCCUUCUCUAGGGCACAGACUCUCACCUCAUUGCCAGGCUGGCAGGUCAUUCGUCCAGGCAUCAUAUGGCUAUAAAACCAGUGGUAUUCUUUUUAUUUGAAAUGGGGUGGUAGUAGUGGUGGUGGGGAGACAUAAAUCCUAAGUGGUUCACACAGGAUGCAAAGUGACACAAUUUGUGUGUAUGUAAGAGUGUAUAUGAGUUUGGGGGUGGGAGGGCCUUAUUUUGGGAGAAAAUUCUCCCAAAUGUUGGAGUAUUGGGGGCAAAAAUUCUGUUACUCUGAACAAUGUCUGCAUAACAGUGAAAAUCAGAGGACCGUAAGUAUUGAAAAGUACUGCCAAAAUAAUGGGGUUUGAAGGCAGAUGUGUAUUGAAAAACCCUGAAUGAGAAUAAGGGUGCUGCUGAAUCAGGAGGCAGAAAGGAGGGACUUUCAGCUGGUUCACAUGGAAGAGAUAUGAAAUGCUUUAGACAGUCUGGAAAGGUAGGAAGCAGAUGUGAAAUGAACAGGGGGCAACCUGUUGAGAGCUGUUUUGAGAACUGAGAGAACAGACAUCUCAGUAUGCCUCAAAUAUUGAGCUAGAAAAGAGGCAGCCUAAAGGAGCAUCUAACACAAGCCAAAACAAAACCAAAAUACCUUAAAUCAAGCCCAAAAAAAAAAGACAACAGGAAAGAACCUUCCUCCUGGAAAUAUAAAUGUGGUAGAGGGGUUAAUGAUGGUGCUGUAUAUCAGGAAUGGAAGGUAGGAGCAGCAGGAUUCAGAAUUCUUGGAGUAGAGGUUGAGUGAAGAAGUCAGCUCACUAAAGGGAACUAGAGUAAUGCUUGCAAGGACCUUGUCUGUUUCACAUGCUGGUUGUUCCAUGGUGGCAGAAGUGGGAUCUGAUGUUCUACAUCUUGCAUAACUAAAAAGGUAGCAUGCACUAAACUUGGAAAGAUCUUAAAUCUGUACCCUGAAAAUUAUCCCACAUUCGUGGAAAAAUUAGUAUGCCUAUUAGUAUUGUCACCAUGCAAGAACUGCACUGGCAAUGAAGACAGUGAUGUAAGAAGACAGAAGUGAGUCCAGACACAGGAUCCAUUGUCUAAGCAACUGAUGGGAGAAAUGGCUUCGUGACUGUCCUGAGGCAAUGGUGGUGAGGCAGGAAUUAAACACCUCCCAGGGAUGAAAUGGUGUCACCUUGUAUUGUGUUUCACCUUAAUUAUCUCCAUGAGAACUUCACACAUGUAUUAAAAAAACCCAACAUGACACAUUCGUAAGGUAGUUACUAUCUGUUGCAGAAUUUCAUGUAUUAUAUUUGUGCCCUAAGUUAGCCAUUAUUAUCCCAAUUUUAUAGUUAAGGGAAUGGAAACUCAAAAAACAUAUGGCUUGCUUACAGAGCUACACAACUUGUGGGAGAGGAGCUGGGAUUGGGACUCCAAUUUUGGGACUCUGUGUUCAUCAUGUUUUUUGGUCCCCCAUGUUCCCCUUCUUUAAAUGACUGAGUACAUGUCAUUUCAAAAACUUGUGGCCUUGGGCAAUGGCAGGCAGAAUAGGAAGUAAAUAUGUCUCAUUUUCCCUUUGUGAUUUCUCUAUGGUUCCAUAAAGAAAUAAACACAUUUAAAAGGUUAGCCAUUUGCCUUUGCCUGAGUAAAGUAUAAAGUUUUUUAAAAAAGCAUUUCCAGUUAUUUUGUGUAUUAAUCUAAUGAUGG
Molecule: long non-coding RNA, 4007 nt
Filed under: Homo sapiens (human)
Lineage: Eukaryota; Metazoa; Chordata; Mammalia; Primates; Hominidae
Description: HSALNT0081627
Source: RNAcentral